GACGAACGCUGGCGGCGUGCUUAACACAUGCAAGUCGAACGAAGUGGCGCACGGGUGAGUAACGCGUAAUCAACCUGCCCUUCAGAGGGGGACAACAGUUGGAAACGACUGCUAAUACCGCAUACUGAAGGAGGGGAUUGCGUCUGUUUCGCUAGUUGGCGGGGUAACGGCCCACCAAGGCGAUGAUCAGUAGCCGGUCUGAGGGGAUGAACGGCCACAUCUGGACUUGGACACGGCCCAGACUCCUACGGGAGGCAGCAGUGGGGAAUCUUCCGCAAUGGAGGAAAGUCUGACGGAGCAACGCCGGGGGAGUGAUGACGGCCGUCGGGUUGUAAAGGUCUGUUAAUCGGGACGCGGUACCGGAAGAGAAAGCAACGGCUAACUACGUGCCAGCAGCCGCGGUAAUAC
Molecule: ribosomal RNA, 408 nt
Filed under: uncultured bacterium
Lineage: Bacteria
Description: partial 16S ribosomal RNA
Rfam family: Bacterial small subunit ribosomal RNA
Source: RNAcentral